UGUGGAUAUAUGAAAAACACUUUAAGUGAAUAAGGAUAUAAUAAAAUCCCCUGAAAAUCCUCCUAUUCCGGAGGGUUGUAAUUACUUAAUUAGUGCAGUUUCCAUUAAAGGAUUUUGAAUUUUUACAUUUGGUUUUUACUCAAAUAUAGGGAUCUUGGAAACUUAAUGAUUGAAAGACUUCAUCCAUAAAAGAAAGAAUGUUUUAAAAACUUUUGCUAACAGGGCCAAACUAAAUAUUGAUGGUGAAAAUUAGAUGAUUACAAUGUCAGCAGCUUCUGAUUAAGUGCUAUUAAGAAAUUUGCAAGAAGGUCAACUGUUAAAUUAGUCAUUCAAAAUGCUUGUCUUAAAGCAAACAUACUGACUGCUUACUGUUGAAUGCUCAUUUACCUAAUAGACCUGCUUUAUUUAGGUCAGUUUGGGGUGAGAAGGAGAUGCACAACUAAAGUUGAAAAGAACAAAGAUCUGCCUUCAGCCAAAGAAAGAUCAGAUGACGAGGUACCAGUGGCCAUUGAAGUCUCUGGAAACUCUAACACAACUAAAGAGCGAUCACAAACAAAGAGACAGAAGUGGAGCCAAGAAGAAGUCCAGGCAGUGGAGAAAACGCUCAUGGACUGUAUCAACUUUGGAACUGUUCCUCGGAAAGCCGAGUGUAUGAAGUGCAUUGAAGCCUCACCAGUGGCCCUCAAAAACAGGACAUGGCAAGCAGUUAAAUUCUAUGUGAAAAACCGCAUAGACGCAUUAAAACGAAAAACUUUCAAAAGAAGGUAAGCGUUGACCUUUUAUUACUACCCUUUUAUUAAACGGGCCAUUUGUUAGUGCCACAUCCAAGCUGCUUCUGUUUGGAGUUUUGAAUUUUUAGGACAGUUGCAGUCAAGGCCAAGUCAACUAAAA
This is a long non-coding RNA of Fundulus heteroclitus (mummichog), 891 nucleotides long. RefSeq lists it as uncharacterized. Lineage: Eukaryota; Metazoa; Chordata; Actinopteri; Cyprinodontiformes; Fundulidae. The record is from RefSeq and is a predicted model, not a curated record. The transcript has 3 exons.